GAGAAGUCUGGAGACGACGUUCAGGUA
RNAcentral lists this non-coding RNA (27 nucleotides) under Cricetulus griseus (Chinese hamster). Lineage: Eukaryota; Metazoa; Chordata; Mammalia; Rodentia; Cricetidae. The record is from RNAcentral.